This 385-nucleotide ribosomal RNA is filed under the name uncultured bacterium. RNAcentral's name for it is "bacterial SSU rRNA". It matches the Rfam family "Bacterial small subunit ribosomal RNA", at positions 30 to 417 of the family's 1533-position model. The record is from RNAcentral.
AUUGAACGCUGGCGGCAUGCCUUACACAUGCAAGUCGAACGGCAGCGGACCUUCGGGUGCCGGCGAGUGGCGAACGGGUGAGUAAUAUAUCGGAACGUACCUUUUAGUGGGGGAUAACGUAGCGAAAGUUACGCUAAUACCGCAUAUUCUGUGAGCAGGAAAGCAGGGGAUCGCAAGACCUUGCGCUGAUUGAGCGGCCGAUAUCAGAUUAGCUAGUUGGUGAGGUAAAGGCUCACCAAGGCGACGAUCUGUAGCGGGUCUGAGAGGAUGAUCCGCCACACUGGAACUGAGACACGGUCCAGACUCCUACGGGAGGCAGCAGUGGGGAAUUUUGGACAAUGGGCGCAAGCCUGAUCCAGCCAUGCCGCGUGAGUGAAGAAGGCCU